CACGUAGGGCGCAAGCGUUGUCCGGAAUUAUUGGGCGUAAAGAGCUCGUAGGCGGUCUGUUGCGUCCGCUGUGAAAACUCGGGGCUUAACCCCGAGCCUGCAGUGGAUACGGGCAGACUAGAGUGCGGUAGGGGAGAUUGGAAUUCCUGGUGUAGCGGUGGAAUGCGCAGAUAUCAGGAGGAACACCGGUGGCGAAGGCGGUUCUCUGGGCAUUAACUGACGCUGAGGAGCGAAAGCAUGGGGAGCGAACAGG
Molecule: ribosomal RNA, 253 nt
Filed under: uncultured bacterium
Lineage: Bacteria
Description: partial 16S ribosomal RNA
Rfam family: Bacterial small subunit ribosomal RNA
Source: RNAcentral